GUAGCUAUAAUUUAAUGGUAAAAUCUCCGUAUGUGGAACGGUCUAUCUGAGUUCAAUUCUCAGUAGUUACC
RNAcentral lists this transfer RNA (71 nucleotides) under Candida neerlandica. RNAcentral describes it as "tRNA-His". It matches the Rfam family "tRNA". From Rfam's summary of the family: Transfer RNA (tRNA) molecules are approximately 80 nucleotides in length. The record is from RNAcentral. Lineage: Eukaryota; Fungi; Ascomycota; Pichiomycetes; Serinales; Debaryomycetaceae.